RNAcentral lists this ribosomal RNA (253 nucleotides) under uncultured bacterium. Its description in RNAcentral is "partial 16S ribosomal RNA". It matches the Rfam family "Bacterial small subunit ribosomal RNA", at positions 524 to 776 of the family's 1533-position model. The record is from RNAcentral.
UACAGAGGUCUCAAGCGUUGUUCGGAUUCAUUGGGCGUGAAGGGUGCGUAGGUGGCGCCGUAAGUCAGGUGUGAAAUUUCGGAGCUUAACUCCGAAACUGCAUUUGAUACUGCGGUGCUUGAGGACUGGAGAGGAGACUGGAAUUUACGGUGUAGCAGUGAAAUGCGUAGAGAUCAUGAGGAAGACCAGUGGCGAAGGCGGGUCUCUGGACAGUUCCUGACACUGAGGCACGAAGGCCAGGGGAGCAAACGGG